AUCUACGCCUAUACCAGCCUGAUCUCGGAAACUAAGCAGGGUCGGGCUUGGCCAGGACUUCGAUGGGAGAUCCCCUAGGAAUACCAGGAGUGGUGGGCU
Cercocebus atys (sooty mangabey) is the source of this 99-nucleotide ribosomal RNA. The record is from Ensembl. NCBI's taxonomy places the organism in Eukaryota, Metazoa, Chordata, Mammalia, Primates, Cercopithecidae.